AAAAUGUAAACAUUUUCCCUGGCCUUCUUUAAAUAAAAAAUCAAGCAAAAGCCCCGUUAGAUCAGCUAAUACUCAAUCUGAUGCGAUAUGCCCGCGCGUUCGCAGCGUCUUCUGUAAAUGCUGGACGGUUUUUACACAUGAAUAUUGUUUGUGUAAUGCAGUCAUAAUAUUUACGCAGGGACGCGGGAGGAGUGAGGUGGAAGCUCUGCCGAGCUGUGAGCACAGAAACUCGGACGGGGACCUGAGAUCGACUCCUGCAGGCAGUUUCCCAUCGAAUGAUCCAGGAAUUGAAGAAGAUUCAGUCCCACACAGUGAGUGGGAGCCUGCCUGGCGCCCCACCCUGCAGUCCUGCACACCUCCCAGGGCCGGUCCAUCUCGGUCUGUCCAAUGCAGGGACAGACAUCAAUAAUGAGAGCUGAAGCAGAAACCACAGGGCAGAACACAAAGGAUCGAGGGAGGGCAGACACAGGCCACAGCUGGCUCUGCUGCAGGUUGGAGUGGGCAGACGUGCGGCUUUGGCCACAGGAAGCUGUGAAUUCUUCGCAGAAUGGAAGACGUCUUAUGAGGAGACAUGCCGGGCCCCUCACCACCCCCAAAGUGACCCCUGACCCUUUCAUGUGUUUAUAUCAGACCGUGGAAGUGAGAAAUAGUGAUGAGUCACUCUGGCUGUGUGUUUACACUUCGGAGUCACGCAAGGAAGGAAAUCAGCCACGGUCUGCUAAAAGUGGCGAGGUGAGAGAGAAUAGCUGCAGUCCCCGAGAGCUGCUGUGAUUUAGCUCUCAGAGCCAGAAUUUAUUUCACGUCAUCUCUGCGGCGAAAACUUUCAACCUACAGAAAACAGCAGCAUUAGCAGCACGGUAGACCGCUGCUGAGAGAACGGCAACGUUUAGAGCCAAAACAAGCAGCCGACAGCAAGGAAAGGUGGAUGUGUUACUGCCACGCUGAUUAUUUCAGGAGAUAAGACUGUUAUAAAAAGCAGGGUAACUCAUUCAGCAGAAUGUUAUUCGAAAGCUGGAGAAUUUUUGAUGCAUUGGAGCUUCAGGAUUUUCCAUACACAGAGUUGAUCAUGUCCAGUUGCUUUCUGAUGAAGGUAGAUAACAAACACACAUCACUGGCAGUAAAUGAAAACCUGCAUCUUCACACAUUUCAUGUUUUUUUUUUUUUUUAAGUAAAAACUGUUUGCAGUUACAUCUCAGUGUGUAAUUGCACUUUAAACAUUUUCAGAGACAUUUUUCAACUACAGGCGUGAAAUGCUUAAUUGUAUUCACCCCUUAUUUUAAUUUAAAUGUACGUAUAUUUCGAAAAAACAGAUUUAGCAUCAAUAGUGUUCAGUACAUAUGCUCUAAGUUUCUUAGUUUUUCUAUUACCAUAGUAUUGAUAAAGAUAUUCAAAAGAAAAGAGUAAAAAUGCCAUCAAACAUCAAACAAAAGCCUUACUUUUAAUAACUAUUUACUUUCAAAACCCUUUAUUAAUUCAUUUCAGUUCAUUUUGCUUCAACUCAAUUUAAUUUAAUUCAAUUCAGUUCAAUUUCAUCCAGUUAAUUUUAACCCAGUUCAAAGGUGGCUGUUUUCAUAUGACAGUUUCAACAAACAAUACAGCCAAAGCAUCAACAAAUGGGAUUUGCCCAAAUAUUUGUACAGCACACAAAUACAGUAAUUCAAACUUUAAUACAACAUUAAGAUUCAUUUACAUUCAUUAUCUAAUAUUUGCAGGCUGUUCAUCGUCUCUCAGUUUGUUGAUACAUACUCCAGCAACGUAUUCCCUGCCUCCUUCACCUCCAGGAGUAUUUUUAAGUUUUAUUUUUGAUUGUUAAAUAAGUUCUUUGAAACCCGAAAUAACAGAGGUGAAUAUGUUGAAGUAAAUGUUCCUUGGUUCCAUGAAUAUUGUGCAUUUUAAUAGUAAGUGUAUCUGUUGAACAUCUUACAUUUAAAAGCCAGUCAAUGAUCAGAUCUUUUGUCUGACUUUGUGUCUGCAGGUUGCAUGAGUAGGAAACAAACAGUUUGUGUGGAAAUAUGAUUACAUAAGUAGAUUGAGUGGAUUUUAUGAAAGCAAGCUAGCAAAAGUCAGUACAUAUCUCUACAGUCAUAUAUGAAGGGAAAAACAUUUCCUAAAAAUACCAAACAGAUAAAGUUGUAGAGCUGCUAAAAUAUCUAUGCAAUAAUUUAAUGGCUUGGAUGAAUAAGGCAGAUUAGAUUCUGAACUGAUACCAACAAGGUGGAAACGGAGCCUACAUAUUAGCAUAUUCCACAAAUCAAAUCAAUUUAAAUGAACAAAAAGUAAUUUACCUUACAGGUGGUUGUAACUUUUAAGGUAUCAAUUCCAUAUUGAGAUAUUUUCUCAUUGGAUUACAAAGUAUUUUUAUGGUGUAUGACGGUGAGGGAUCGUACUGCAUCCUCACUGUCUAAACCACAUCGGACACACAUUACUUUGAGCUCCAGAUUACUUUAUGUCAAAUGCACUGUAAGAUGUGUUUACUGUGGCUUCCACCACUGUUGCAAACAUAGUGUCACUGUCGUCCUCCACACUGAGUGACUUCAGAUUUUAGCUGAUUGCACCACUGUUGUUUUCAAGACAUACCUGUAGUUACUGCAGUUGUGUUCAGUAAAUAAAAGUGACACAUUAUUUCUUUCCCUAACUGCAUUGGUGCAAAAAACUUCAUUGCUGACUGCAGUGAGUAUCCCUUUACACACCCCCGUACAUGCUGCCACAAUGAGAGAGUCAGUGGCUCUUAUUUUGGACAAUCUCUCCUGAAUUGUAAGUCCUGUCAGCAGCUUUGAUUGAUAGUUGCGUUUAUCACCAUAUUAUUAAGUAAUCAGGCUCACCACAGCUCGGCCUGAAGCUCCUUAAUUCCAGCUAAAGCACACAGCUUCAUGCUAAUUAAAGGUUUGGUAAAUGUGUUUAUUUUUGUGAAUUUUUAAAAUAUAGUCGUCUGUGUUUUUAUGUGUCUCAAGUGUGCCGAUUGUUGAAUUUGCAUGCUCUCUGGGACAUUUAGUGCCAACCCUUAGUAUUGUGUCUCCAUCAGAAAAAUCAUGGAUAGUCACAUGGAUGGUGGAGAGAAGUUUGCGCUGCACAGACUGCAUGUAGGGUGUAUAAAUCUUGCCUAUCAGCACACAAUAUUGUACUGUUAAUGUUACUGUAAAACCUGCAAAACGACAAUUAAUGUACAAACAGAAAAUUCUGUGUAUAACAUAAGAGGGUCAAUCAGUCUAUGUUCUGUGGAUCCGCAGAGGUUUCUUCUCGCUUCGUUAAUAGAGCCUGCGGCAGGCAGCGUUUGUGUAUUUCUGAGGUAAACACAGUCAUGGCAAAGUGGACAUGCUGCUGAGUGUGUCCUGACUGGAGACAGAAAGCACUGUGGCACUGUACUUACCGAGACACUGGCAGCUCUCUAGAGGUAGGGUUAAUGUGAUGAAUGGCCAUUUGGUAAUGGGCCAUGUAUUAGGGUGAAAUAGCUCUUUUAAAAGCCAGAGUUUGAGCCGUUGCUAUGGGCGAUUUGAUUCAGGAAUCUAUCAGGUGGCAGAUGUUUCAUGUUGGAUCCGUCAACUCUGUCCUGCUCUCGCUUUCAACCAAAUGAAGGGAGAACUGCUUGAGUGACUGCGUGUAGCAAUCAAAUGUAAAUGCGGCUUAAUGCGGUCAAAAACAUCGGUCAGGCCAAAGCUUGCUUUUUAAAAAGAAAACUUACACAAAAAUAAUUUGGUUUUUGAGCUGUAUUCAUGAACUGACUGAUAUAUCAGGUGAAGAAUGUGAUUAUAUUUUCUCUUGUGAGUUUUGCAGGUUUUCUUUUGUGGUUACAGCCAUUUGAUUUUGCACCUUCUACUCAUUGUAGAAAAUGUUGCACACAAGCUAGACUCCUGGUAAUGUGAAUAUCUGAAUGUAUGAGUUUUGUUGAUUCAGAUUUAGAAAUUUUCACUUAUGAAGUGAAAUAUAUGCAAAAUGGUUGCAUUAUUUGCAUCUCAUACAAAUAUUUGUAUUCUUCAAAGAGGUUCAAGGGUGUUGAUGUAAUUAUGAGGGUGUUCUGUGCAAUAAUUACUCCCAGGUUUUCUUUGACAAUGAUACCGUUUCUCUUCUAUUGUUAUAUGAUUCAAACUCUAAGAUAAUUAAAUGACUUCAUUCAUAAGUAUUUUAGAUUGUUUUUAGUUCUGCUACUAUUUGGCAAAAAAUGGUUCUGGUGUUUGUUUCACAUUUUUAUCAAUAAAUUUGUACAUGAUACAAGUUGCAACUGUU
Amphiprion ocellaris (clown anemonefish) is the source of this 4221-nucleotide long non-coding RNA. RefSeq lists it as uncharacterized. The transcript has 3 exons. Lineage: Eukaryota; Metazoa; Chordata; Actinopteri; Pomacentridae. The record is from RefSeq and is a predicted model, not a curated record.